Molecule: long non-coding RNA, 1574 nt
Organism: Sus scrofa (pig)
Lineage: Eukaryota; Metazoa; Chordata; Mammalia; Artiodactyla; Suidae
Source: RefSeq, a predicted model, not a curated record
GUUUCCCGCCGAAGGUGCCCGCGGGUCGGUGGUUAGUCCUUAGGUGCGGAGUCGGCCGGCUGUUCUCAUCCCGCCCGGGUGUUGCUUCCCGAAGCCUCCUCCGUCCGCCUCGGCUCUCUCCAUCCAGGUGCCCCCAGCGCGCUCUGCGCCUUUUACGCUUCCCGUUUUCGCCCAGCCUUAACCAGGGAGACACUUCUCCUCUCCCGCUCAGGGCCAAAGACCGAUGUGGAAAGGAUCCUGACUUGCUUGAAAGGGCCAGCUAAUGUCUAGGAUGUGAAGCUGUAGAGAACUAUAAGGUAAGGAAAGACUCUCUGAAGGUACGUCAGCUCCAGAAACUUCGGCCCUGGGAAAUGGCUAAGCUUCUCAGCCCUCCCCCAGGAAGGGCCCUCUCAACUCCAGCAGCCACGGGUGCCAGCUGAAGAUCAUCUCCCUUGCUGAUGCAGAGCUUCAGCGAGGUGCUGCCCCCAAGGAAUCUCUCUCUGCCUGUCCCGGUGGAUAUGAAUGGCUCAACCUGAAUUCAGGUGACCAGUCUCCAGCCCCGCCUCCCACCACCACUCAGGCAGGCCCCACACACCCACUCCACCCACGGGAGGGGCUCUCUGAUGCCCAGUAAAGCCAGCUCCAACGAUCUCCGAUCUCCGACUCAGAGCUGCGCACUUGAAGGUAAGACAUGCGUAAAGGGUUGCCGUGAAGUUUCUUGGGACUAAAAGGGUAAGAGAUGGUGCGAGGAUUGAAUUCUGAUUCCGAGUCGUUACGCUCUUUUUUGGAGUACCCUGUACCGGAACUACUCUAACCAGAAAUCCCCAGGACUGGAGGCUGGUGCCUCUAAGCGCCUGGUGUGCGUCGGGGACAGUGGUUUAGUGUCUCAGCUAAAUGAGCCUCCCACUUUCACUUUUCACUUUCCUCUGCUUUCACUUUUCCCUUUUUUCACCUCUUAAGGAGGCAUGCAUUUCAGAGCCUAGCAGGUGCAGAGCUGGCCCCUGAGGGCACCUGCCUCCUUAAAUUUUGUGCCCUCCGUUUCUAAGCUCCCAGCCCUGGUCCGGACCCCAGUCCCAGCCCGAACACCGCACACGCUCUUCUAGGCUGUGUGGCCUUUAGAGAGGCCAACUUCCCAGAAGUAGGGUGGAUCUUCUGUGGCUUGAACAUUGAGGUCUUUCCUGUGCAACGAAGGAUAUGUUUCUAGUAAAUGCAGACAUGGAAGAAAAUAGCAAACAGCGAUUGCGAUCGCGGGCCCUGGACUUGAUCUUGUUAAAGCGCUGAUCUGACUCUGGAGGGCCGGGCCGGGCCAGGCCUGGGACUCUGCAUGUCUAACUAGCUCUCAGAUGAUGCCGAUUAUUGCUGUGGGUCAGGGACCACGAGGGUCAGUUUCUCAGCUGCUCUAAAGGGGAGACCGUGCACCCAGGACCAGCAACAUAUUUUGCAGAGCCCAAUACCGAAUGAGAAGGUGGACUCCUAGUUCAAAAAUUAAGAAUUUCAAGAGUAGGAGUUCCCGUCAUGGCGCAGUGGUUAACGAAUCCGACUAGGAACCAUGAGGUUGCGGGUUUGAUCUGUGGCUUUGCUCAGUGGGUUAAGGA